RNAcentral lists this ribosomal RNA (254 nucleotides) under uncultured bacterium. RNAcentral describes it as "partial 16S ribosomal RNA". It matches the Rfam family "Bacterial small subunit ribosomal RNA", at positions 524 to 776 of the family's 1533-position model. The record is from RNAcentral.
CACGUAGGGACCAAGCGUUGUCCGGAUUCAUUGGGCGUAAAGAGCUCGUAGGCGGUUCGAUAAGUCGGGUGUGAAACCUCCAGGCUCAACCUGGAGACGCCACCCGAUACUGUCGUGACUAGAGUCCAGUAGGGGAGCGUGGAAUUCCUGGUGUAGCGGUGAAAUGCGCAGAUAUCAGGAGGAACACCGAUGGCGAAGGCAGAUCUCUGGGCCUUACCUGACGCUGAGGAGCGAAAGCUGGGGGAGCGAACAGG